UGGGGAAUAUUGGACAAUGGGGGGAACCCUGAUCCAGCCAUGCCGCGUGUGUGAAGAAGGCCUUAUGGUUGUAAAGCACUUUAAGCGAGGAGGAGGCUACUGAGACUAAUACUCUUGGAUAGUGGACGUUACUCGCAGAAUAAGCACCGGCUA
Molecule: ribosomal RNA, 153 nt
Filed under: uncultured gamma proteobacterium AL20b2
Lineage: Bacteria; Pseudomonadati; Pseudomonadota; Gammaproteobacteria
Also listed under: 1 other name
Description: partial 16S ribosomal RNA
Rfam family: Bacterial small subunit ribosomal RNA
Source: RNAcentral